RNAcentral lists this non-coding RNA (30 nucleotides) under Cricetulus griseus (Chinese hamster). Lineage: Eukaryota; Metazoa; Chordata; Mammalia; Rodentia; Cricetidae. The record is from RNAcentral.
UGGCACAGGACUGGCUGAAGGAGGCCCGGA